AACGAACGCUGGCGGCAGGCUUAACACAUGCAAGUCGAACGAACUCUUCGGAGUUAGUGGCAGACGGGUGAGUAACGCGUGGGAAUAUACCUUUCGGUACGGAACAACAGUUGGAAACGACUGCUAAUACCGUAUGCGCCCUACGGGGGAAAGAUUUAUCGCCGAAGGAUUAGCCCGCGUUGGAUUAGCUAGUUGGUGGGGUAAAGGCCUACCAAGGCGACGAUCCAUAGCUGGUCUGAGAGGAUGAUCAGCCACACUGGGACUGAGACACGGCCCAGACUCCUACGGGAGGCAGCAGUGGGGAAUAUUGGACAAUGGGGGCAACCCUGAUCCAGCCAUGCCGCGUGAGUGAUGAAGGCCCUAGGGUUGUAAAGCUCUUUCAGCGAGGAGGAUAAUGACGUUACUCGCAGAAGAAGCCCCGGCUAACUUCG
RNAcentral lists this ribosomal RNA (431 nucleotides) under uncultured Labrenzia sp. RNAcentral's name for it is "bacterial SSU rRNA". It matches the Rfam family "Bacterial small subunit ribosomal RNA", at positions 29 to 505 of the family's 1533-position model. The record is from RNAcentral. Lineage: Bacteria; Pseudomonadati; Pseudomonadota; Alphaproteobacteria; Hyphomicrobiales; Stappiaceae.